Numida meleagris (helmeted guineafowl) is the source of this 3649-nucleotide long non-coding RNA. RefSeq lists it as uncharacterized. The record is from RefSeq and is a predicted model, not a curated record. The transcript is spliced from 3 exons. NCBI's taxonomy places the organism in Eukaryota, Metazoa, Chordata, Aves, Galliformes, Numididae.
AAGACCAAGGUCUUUUGGGUGCGUGGGGGGGGUAGGGCAGCAGAUGGAAGUAGGUGGGCCGGAGUGUUUGGAGGACUCGUGAAGGCUGGGGGUGCAGGGAGGGACCCUCAGGCAUUGAGCAGCUACGUGCCUUGGUUGUUACACCUGGAGAAGACACACUGUUCCCACUGCUACUCCCAUACUGGUCCAAGGCACCUUCAGGAUUCUUCCAACCUGGAUGCAUGGGUGGGUGCUGGUGGCUGCUCCACACACAGCGCUCCCACGACCUCCUGACUAAGUGGGACUAUUCAGACUGGGAGGUAUUUGUGAAUGCUAGGACUGGAUAGGGAGGAAUGAGGGAAAAUAGAGGGGAGGUAGGGAUUGGGAGGAAGUUGGAGGACACUGAGAAUCAUUGUGAGAUGAUAAGGAGGGACUGGAUGGGGAAUGGAUGGAGUUGGGAGAGAUUGGGAUUGCUUUGGGAGGGACUGCUCCUCCCAGUACCCCAGUACUGGGGUGCCACUGCUGCUUGUCUCCCAGAGGUGUAGCCAGGAGACCACGUGUGUUGUCGGUGCUAUCACCUGUCAAAAAGAAAGUGGUACUGCAUGUGCUGGCUCUGCUCUUGCCGUUGCCAUGGAGGAAAUAACACCACUUCAUCGCGUGCCUCUCCUUGUCUGGAUGCUACGCGGCAAUGGAAAACCACAUUUUCCACAAUGCUCCAGAACCUGGUUAACUGCUGGGCUGCUGGGUGCCCAGAGUGGUAAGAACAACAGACAUAUUCACAUACCCACCCACUAUAUAUGACCGCACCACAGAGUGCUCCCAGAAGUUGUCAGUGUACCCUGGGGUGGGCCAGAGAGCUCUGGAAGCAGCCUGGUGUGGCCUAGAGUAUGCUGGGACAUACUUGGACUGCAGCAGGGUACGCUGGAAGGCCUCUAGGGAACCCCAGAGCACACUGAAGUGCUCUGGGAGUACUGUAGGGUGCCCCACAGUCCACUUGAGCACCCUUGGAAGUCUCUGGGAUGCAGUGGGAAGCCUUUAGGGCACCUUAGGGAAUGCAGACUGUCUCUGGGAGUCCAUUAGUGUGCCUUAGAAAAUGUUGGGUAGCCCAGGGAGGCCCCUGGGGUGCGCUGUGAAGCCUUUUGUAUGACCUAGAGAACUCUGGGGGGCUCUGAGAGUAUGCUAGGGCAUACUAGAAAAUACUGGGGGCUCCUUGGAGUCCGGUAGGGCACACUGGGAAACCAGUGAAGAACCCUAGAGCAUAAUGAGGAGCUAUGAGAGCGCUCUAGGAUGCUCUGGAAUGCCUCUAGAGCUUUUCCCCUUCCCUCACUGUAAGGUAUUCCCAGAAAGGUGCAAACCACCUUUACCACGUGACCUCAGCGUUUUUCCUGUGGAGCACUUGAGGCAUUGCCCCAUGUCAGUCUCUCAUGGCACCCCUGGAAGUGACCAAGGCCAGGCUGGGUGGGCUCUAAGCAGUCUGAUCUGGUGGAGGGUGUCCAGCCCAUGGUAGGUGUGGGGCAUGUUCUCACCUGAAGGCGAGAUGGCUAGGGAGCACACACCGCAGAGACGAGCAGUAAAAGAAAGGGGCAAUCUUGAGACUCGCAAAGUUUUAUCUUUCCCUCUAAAUGGGAAAAAUUUCUCUCUCUUCUGAGGACCAGGUACCUAGAAACAAUGACACUCCACAUAACCGGAGCAUUAACUUUUUAACUCCCGGUGCACUACAUGAUGUUACGAUGUGGAAUACUGAUUAAAAAAAAUCAUAAAACUGUGACACUACUGUAAUGCUAAUCCAGAGCACUGUAUCUGGAGUCAUGGCAGCAUACAACCAAGAGCAUUUGCAGCUGACCAAUGAGAACCUGAUUAUGAAGCUUCAGGCUUGCUCUCUAGGCUAUCUUGUUUAUCAGGAAUUCAAAUCCAAAAUUAGUGUUUUGAAGAAACAAGUUCCAACAGUUACUCACAUCCAGGUAUGAAAUCCCUCAAUUCUGUCUGAAACUUGUACUUGUCAGUUAUGUUAGUAAUUUAUCAUCACAUUAUAUUAUCACUGCAAUUCCCCAUGAGCUGAAGAGAGGCAACAGGACUUUGAGAUACCUGAGUAAGAGUCCCUUUCUCUUCUCAUUUGUCCAGGGAUUUGGAGAAUUGAGGAUGUGGAAUGGGUGGUGUGAUUGUUCAGCAUAAGGUUGGGCGUGUUUACAGGAGAGUAAUGAAAAAAUCUUUCUCCACUGUUGUAACUGAAAUGUUUGUAAAUGAAAUAUAUGCUUUGCACUCUGUUACUACUUUAUUUGGCCUGUUGACCCCCGUUUGUUCCUGCCUAAGUAGCAGGUGCUCUGCCCCAGCAGACAAACAAAAAAAAACCCCACAAUCACAACCCCCAAUUCAUGAAAAUAGCACUCUCUCUCAUUAAAUGUGGACCAGUUCUUUGUCUAAUUUCUGUUCCAAGAAGCAGUAGUAGAGAAUCCACUCUGAAGGCUUAUAAUUUUACAUCACUCUUCCCUCCAGCAGCAGCAUCUGCCACAUGACCCUUACAUAUGAGAGUUUCUGUGCAUUUCAUUUAGUUACACAUUUGUUCUCUAGCUGUGUUUCUGAAGGCCCAUGCUCUUCAUGGAGAUAGUUUCAAGUCUUUCACAAUGACAACUGAUGAAAUAAAUAGUUAAUGCUUCACUGUAUCUCUCUUACUGCAUAUAGCUUGUAAGAUGAGCAUGUCUCCAUUACAUUUUAUUUAACCAAAGGGAAGUUGGAAGCUGAGCAGCAGAAAGAGGCUUAGAAUUGUAAUUACUUCUCUUUAAUUUGAAAACUAAAGUAAGUGCUCGUUUUCUGUUUUCAGUCCCAGUGGUGUUGCUAUAAACAGAGGAAGGCAUGUCAAAUUGUUUUGGAUUACCUAUGAGCACACAAGGACCGAGUAGUGAAGACUGCAAAGGCUCCAUGACAAUUUCUUUUUCUUUUUUUUUGGUAAACAUUUUGGGUAGAAAUAUCUGUGAAAAUGUGUUUUAUCUGUCCUGUUUUUGGAUUCUUUCGUUUGGAUUCAGUCAAUAACCAGGAUGUAUCAAGCCAGAGGGUGUUACAGAGAUUACCUGCAGUAUUUCAGAGACCAUGCUUGAUCCUGCACUACUCUACGAAGCAAGUCUCUGAAGGGGUCAAAGUCUGCUCUCCUGAAGUCCAGGGAAGUGAACUUGCUGUGCCCGCCUCCUCGCUGCCCCAAGGACCUUGAAUGCCAGCAUGCCACAGACAGCGCAACUACUUCUGCCCUCGAAAUUCACGUUCUCCACCAGCCUCUUCUUAUUGGUAGCACAACGCAUGCGUGCAGAAAUGUGGAAGUGGCGUAUCUGAGUACUGACCGCUCUGCGCAGCGAAUCCGCCAAUCUUUAUUGUCCAGGCUGCCCACGCAGCUUCUCAGCAUCUUGCUGUGUCAGUAUUGCAAUCUGUGCUCCCCUAUCUAUUAGAAAUGUCACCAACUGACUUUGAGGACCAACUGGAAUCAAAAUAUUUGAGCCCUUAUAGCUUAUCCAUCGAUAAGCCUCCCCUUACUGGAAAGACAGAACCAAUUGCCUGUUGGCCAUUAUUGUCUGUCUGUCUGUCUGUCUUUCGUGCUGUGCUUCAUGCCUGUAUGGGAACUGCUUGGUCAGGGCCUGAACUGGUGACUGAGCACCUGCUGAGGGGUGUAGCUAGCCCUGAGAGC